This 442-nucleotide ribosomal RNA is filed under the name uncultured bacterium. RNAcentral describes it as "partial 16S ribosomal RNA". It matches the Rfam family "Bacterial small subunit ribosomal RNA", at positions 338 to 795 of the family's 1533-position model. The record is from RNAcentral.
CCUACGGGAGGCAGCAGUGGGGAAUAUUGGGCAAUGGGCGCAAGCCUGACGCAGCAACGCCGCGUGAAGGAAGAAGGCUUUCGGGUUGUAAACUUCUUUUGUCAGGGAAGAGUAGAAGACGGUACAUGACGAAUAAGCCACGGCUAACUACGUGACAGGAGCCGGGGUAAUACGGAGGUGGCAAGCGUUGUGGGGAUUUACUGGGUGUAGAGGGCGUGUAGCCGGGGUGACAAGUCAGAUGUGAAAUCCUGCGGCUUAACCGCAGAACUGCAUUUGAAACUGUUGAUCUUGAGUACUGGAGAGGCAGACGGAAUUCCUAGUGUAGCGGUAAAAUGCGUAGAUAUUAGGAGGAACACCAAUGGCGAAGGCGGUCUGCUGGACAGCAACUGACGGUGAUGCGCGAAAGCGUGGGGAGCAAACAGGAUUAGAUACCCGAGUAGUC